GACGAACGCUGGCGGCGUGCUUAACACAUGCAAGUCGAACGGUGAAGGGACCAGCUUGCUGGUUCUGGAUGAGUGGCGAACGGGUGAGUAACACGUGAGUAACCUGCCCCCUUCUUCUGGAUAACCGCAUGAAAGUGUGGCUAAUACGGGAUAUUCUGGGUCUGUCGCAUGGCGGGCCCGGGAAAGAUAUUGCUUCGGUGGGGGAUGGGCUCGCGGCCUAUCAGCUUGUUGGUGGGGUGAUGGCCUACCAAGGCGGUGACGGGUAGCCGGCCUGAGAGGGGGGACGGUCACACUGGGACUGAGACACGGCCCAGACUACUACGGGAGGCAGCAGUGGGGAAUAUUGCACAAUGGGCGAAAGCCUGAUGCAGCGACGCCGCGUGAGGGAGGGAGGCCUUCGGGUUGUAAACCUCUUUCGCCAGUGAAGCAGGCCUGCUCCUUGUGGGUGGGUUGACGGUAGCUGGAUAAGAAGCGCCGGCUAACUACGUG
Molecule: ribosomal RNA, 489 nt
Filed under: uncultured bacterium
Lineage: Bacteria
Description: partial 16S ribosomal RNA
Rfam family: Bacterial small subunit ribosomal RNA
Source: RNAcentral